GAUAAUACCUUACUACUUGGAUAACCGUGGUAAUUCUAGAGCUAAUACAUGCUGAAAAUCCCGACUUCGGAAGGGAUGUGUUUAUUAGAUAAAAAACCAAUGCCCUUCGGGGCUUUUUGGUGAUUCAUGAUAACUUUACGGAUCGCAUAGCCUUGCGCUGGCGACGGUUCAUUCAAAUUUCUGCCCUAUCAACUUUCGAUGGUAAGGUAUUGGCUUACCAUGGUUUCAACGGGUAACGGGGAAUUAGGGUUCGAUUCCGGAGAGGGAGCCUGAGAAACGGCUACCACAUCCAAGGAAGGCAGCAGGCGCGCAAAUUACCCAAUCCCGACACGGGGAGGUAGUGACAAUAAAUACUGAUACAGGGCUCUUUUGGGUCUUGUAAUUGGAAUGAGUACAAUUUAAACCUCUUAACGAGGAACAAUUGGAGGGCAAGUCUGGUGCCAGCAGCCGCGGUAAUUCCAGCUCCAAUAGCGUAUAUUAAAGUUGUUGCAGUUAAAAAGCUCGUAGUUGAAACUUGGGCCUGGCUGGCGGGUCCGCCUCACCGCGUGCACUCGUCCGGCCGGGCCUUCCUUCUGAAGAACCUCAUGCCCUUCACUGGGCGUGCUGGGGAAUCAGGACUUUUACUUUGAAAAAAUUAGAGUGUUCAAAGCAGGCCUUUGCUCGAAUACGUUAGCAUGGAAUAAUAAAAUAGGGCGUGCGUUUCUAUUUUGUUGGUUUCUAGAGACGCCGCAAUGAUUAACAGGAACAGUCGGGGGCAUCAGUAUUCAGUUGUCAGAGGUGAAAUUCUUGGAUUUACUGAAGACUAACUACUGCGAAAGCAUUUGCCAAGGAUGUUUUCAUUAAUCAGUGAACGAAAGUUAGGGGAUCGAAGACGAUCAGAUACCGUCGUA
This 890-nucleotide ribosomal RNA is filed under the name Colletotrichum truncatum. RNAcentral describes it as "SSU rRNA". It matches the Rfam family "Eukaryotic small subunit ribosomal RNA", at positions 123 to 1022 of the family's 1831-position model. The record is from RNAcentral. Lineage: Eukaryota; Fungi; Ascomycota; Sordariomycetes; Glomerellales; Glomerellaceae.